Sus scrofa (pig) is the source of this 2351-nucleotide non-coding RNA. The record is from RefSeq and is a predicted model, not a curated record. NCBI's taxonomy places the organism in Eukaryota, Metazoa, Chordata, Mammalia, Artiodactyla, Suidae.
AGGCCUAUGCCAGAACCACAAGAAUGCCGGUUCUGAGCGUCGUCUGUGACCUACACCACAGCUCAUGGCAACACCGGAUCCUUAACCCACUGAGCGAGGCCAGGGAUGCAACCGGAAACCUCAUGGUUACCAGUCAGGUUCGAUAACCACUGAGCUACGACAGGAACUCCUAAGUUACCUGUUUUUUAUGACCCAGAGUCAUCAACAUAAGGCUGAAUUAUUCACUUAAUUAAUUAAGGGUCUACUGAUAUAAUCUGUUUAUUUCAUGAAAUGGCCUUAGAAAACAUAUAUUCCCCACCCAUACUUACUAUAAUUGGCAGCAGCUGCGGUACUAAUAAUUGGAGCACUCAGUAUGUAAUGAGCCAAGGAUGGCAAAUGGUAGAGAAUAAAACCUAUACAUUUUAAAUCUUCUGUGUUCUAGUUAGGACAAAAAUCACACCAAUGUAUUCUAUUGAAAAACUUGAACAAGUACAUAGAAAAACGAUAAGAGCAAAUAAUGAUAAAUUCUCUGAGGGAAUUAGCUUGAAAAGAAAGGGGACCAGUGGGAGGAAACUACUGUUAGACGGAUCUGGGAAGAAUUAGCCAAGGAGAAUUUACUAUUUAACCACUUAUUGCAAUAAAAUUGACUAGUAAGUUUUAGAAGUGUUUUAAAUCUGAACCUUUUCAUUUAAUAUUUGGGCAAUAGUUCAAUGAUGACGUGAAAUCAAGCAAGCAGUUUUCAGUCAGUUCUGCAUUUCUGGAGAAAAGGUUUUUCUUAAUGCUAAAUUCGGUAGAUCCUGUCCUCCAGCUAAGCAUGUUUCCUGCGGGGCAGGUGGCGGUCGUUGGUGCUGUUACAAACCUUUCCCUCCGGGAACUGGUGGGAUUGUGCCUCACUGCCCUUUGGAAGUUAGGUGUACCGCAUGAUUUGCCUUGACCAAUAAGAUCUGAGUAGGAGUGAUUUGCGUCACUUCCGGGAGGAAGCUUUAAUAGCCAGCAACCAAUUCCUGGUUGCCAUAGUUGCCCUCCCAGCACAGGAGGAGAGUGGAGACGUGGACCCUUCAUCAUCCUGGCUCCCGAGAAAGACCUAGCAUACCACCCACCUCACUGCACAGAGACACCGCGUGGACCAUAUCCAGAUCCGUUCAGAGACCAUGGCUCCCAGACCACAGCCAGGCAGGAGGUCAAUGGACAUGAACAGAGUUUUAGUUUGAAAACUGACUUCUUCAAGAGAAUGCUUCUCGCCAGCUUGUCUCUAAAACUGGAAUUAUUAUAGGAUCAGAUGGGCCAUGUAUCUGGCUUCAGCUGGCAAUGAAGGAAAUCCUGGAUGGUCACCAGAAGCAUGAGGCUCUGUUUUAUCAGAUUAGCAGCCCCUGCAAAAUGAGAAUUCUUCUUAGCAAGUCCCAGAAAUGAUCCUGUUGGCACAAACUCAUCUCUAAAUCUACCAGUGACUCCAAAGGACUGGAUUUGGCCACAUGUACAUUUCUGUAAAAGCCUUGGGGGUGGUACCAACCUCAUCCAAACCAGCUGAGAGGAACCUGGAGGAAAACUAGAGUUCCCUAGAGGAAAACUGAAGUGUCAAUACAAGGACAAGAUAUUAAACUUAAAGGAGCUGUAAUUGCACAUUGAUCAUCUUUGAAUCUCCUACAUCGACUGCUCAGAGGGAGGGAGCAGAAGAUUUAAUCCUGAAGUCUGCUCCCUUUGGAGAGCAGCAGUCUGGCUUCUGGUGGCUUCAGCAGCAGCCACUCCAGUAGUCUGGCAAAUGAAGAGUCUGAAAUGUUCUGGCUUUCUGGAGAACUUGUAGCUAAAAUUCAGGUGAGUACUCUGUAAAAGAAGAGAGUCCUAUUCAAGAGUGUCUUCUAUCCUGGCAAAUGAUCUGUAAAGCACUGAAGAGGAGACCCAUGUGACUCAAGGAUAGAAAUCUACAAAGAGCUGACUUGAUGCCUGUUCCUGAGUGAGUCAUAUGCCCUUGUCCCCUUUGUGGCUUCUCUAUUUGUAAAAAUGAGUGUAAUGGUUUUUAUAAGAUAUGAUCAUGGGGUCUAUUUAGAUGUAUAGUACAGUGAGGACAGUGGCUUUGGAGUCAGAAAGACCUGGACUUGAGUCCUGAUUGUACUACUUACCAACUGCCAGUUUGAGUGGAGAAUCUCUACGUAUCUUUACUUUCUUCAUUUGUAAAAUUGGGGUACUUAUUGUUCCUAUCUCAUAGGGUCAUUGUGAAGAUUAAAUAAGGUGACUGGAAUGUCACAAUAACUCAAUAAUUAUUAGCUAUUAUUUGUAAAGUACUCUAAGCUUCUUAUAGAAAAAAACAUGUAAUAUAAAAUCUAAAUUGUUCAACUGGCAGAUUGGUUUGGGAGGGGGCUUUCAGUUUUAAGGAG